Long non-coding RNA from Leopardus geoffroyi (Geoffroy's cat), 132 nucleotides. RefSeq lists it as uncharacterized. The transcript has 3 exons. Lineage: Eukaryota; Metazoa; Chordata; Mammalia; Carnivora; Felidae. The record is from RefSeq and is a predicted model, not a curated record.
UUCCCCCAUGAGAAAUCGUUGCUGCAAACUGCCUGUAAAUUGAUUCUAAUAAAAUGCAAUCUUUUAAUCGGUGAAAAUUUGAAUUGAAAUAAACGUGUGUAUAAUUUUAAAAAAAACAGAUCGGAAGAACGU